CCUACGGGUGGCAGCAGUGGGGAAUAUUGCACAAUGGGGGAAACCCUGAUGCAGCGACGCCGCGUGAGUGAAGAAGUAUUUCGGUAUGUAAAGCUCUAUCAGCAGGGAAGAAAACCACCCUCCGGGGUGGCUGACGGUACCUGACUAAGAAGCCCCGGCUAACUACGUGCCAGCAGCCGCGGUAAUACGUAGGGGGCAAGCGUUAUCCGGAUUUAGUGUGUUUAAAGGGAGCGUAGGUGGCAAGGCAAGUCAGAUGUGAAAACCCGGGGCCCCACCCCGGGAGUGCCUUUGAAACUGUCUGGCUAGAGUGCAGGAGAGGUAAGUGGAAUUCCUAGUGUAGCGGUGAAAUGCAUAGAUAUUAGGAGGAACACCAGUGGCGAAGGCGGCUUACUGGACUGUAACUGACACUGAGGCACGAAAGUGCGGGGAUCGAACAGGAUUAGAUACCCUUGUAGUC
RNAcentral lists this ribosomal RNA (457 nucleotides) under uncultured bacterium. Its description in RNAcentral is "partial 16S ribosomal RNA". It matches the Rfam family "Bacterial small subunit ribosomal RNA", at positions 338 to 795 of the family's 1533-position model. The record is from RNAcentral.